GAGGGCUCCAAGAACGUGUUGGCUGAGUUGCAGCUGGAUGAAUUUCAGAAUGUGAAAUAUCUCGGCCUGAAACACUUUGAUUCAUUAGUACAUAUCCACUGUCAAAAUAAUAUUUCAUUCCCCAAACUUGAAAGACUGGAGGUAAGAAAGUGUCGUUGUCUACAGUAUGUUUUUUGUGUGUCCUUGGCUGGAGGGAGUUUGAAAGUAGCCUGCCCUGAUGAUGAGGAAGAGGAGAUCUCUCGGAGGACACGUGAAGUAAUCAAGUUCCCCAAUUUAUAUGAUUUGAACCUUCAAUCUCUGGAAUGCCUCACUCACUUUUGC
This 321-nucleotide unclassified non-coding RNA is filed under the name Hevea brasiliensis (rubber tree). The record is from RNAcentral. Lineage: Eukaryota; Viridiplantae; Streptophyta; Magnoliopsida; Malpighiales; Euphorbiaceae.